GGGUGAGUAACACGUGGGCAACCUGCCCAAAAGAGGGGGAUAACACUUGGAAACAGAUGCUAAUACCGCAUAACAACAAAAGCCACAUGGCUUUUGCUUGAAAGAUGGCUUUGGCUAUCACUCUGGGAUGGACCUGCGGUGCAUUAGCUAGUUGGUAAGGUAAUGGCUUACCAAGGCGAUGAUGCAUAGCCGAGUUGAGAGACUGAUCGGCCACAAUGGAACUGAGACACGGUCCAUACUCCUACGGGAGGCAGCAGUAGGGAAUCUUCCACAAUGGCGCAAGCCUGAUGGAGCAACACCGCGUGAGUGAAGAAGGGUUUCGGCUCGUAAAGCUCUGUUGUUGGAGAAGAACGUGCGUGAGAGUAACCGUUCACGCAGUGACGGUAUCCAACCAGAAAGUCACGGCUAACUACGUGCCAGCAGCCGCGGUAAUACGUAGGUGGCAAGCGUUAUCCGGAUUUAUUGGGCGUAAAGCGAGCGCAGGCGGUUGCUUAGGUCUGAUGUGAAAGCCUUCGGCUUAACCGAAGAAGUGCAUCGGAAACCGGGCAACUUGAGUGCAGAAGAGGACAGUGGAACUCCAUGUGUAGCGGUGGAAUGCGUAGAUAUAUGGAAGAACACCAGUGGCGAAGGCGGCUGUCUGGUCUGCAACUGACGCUGAGGCUCGAAAGCAUGGGUAGCGAACAGGAUUAGAUACCCUGGUAGUCCAUGCCGUAAACGAU
This 719-nucleotide ribosomal RNA is filed under the name uncultured bacterium. RNAcentral's name for it is "bacterial SSU rRNA". It matches the Rfam family "Bacterial small subunit ribosomal RNA", at positions 104 to 810 of the family's 1533-position model. The record is from RNAcentral.